CCCCCUAAUCUUAACCGGGGCCCGGCUUGCCCUUGAACAAGUUUUAAGGGGCGGGGAACCCUAACCGUGCGAGAGGGAGCGCAAUCUACUUGUUCUUUAAAUGAGGACUAGGAUGAACAGGCAUCACGAGGGUUAUGCUGUCUCCCCACUCUAUUCAGUGAAACUGAUCUCCCCGUGAAGAAGCGGGGAUAAAAAUAUAAGACAGAGAAGACCCCAUGGAGGUUUAAACUCAGGAUCAACUGCUUAACAAAUUAACCUAACAUUUAUGCAACUCUGACUACUAGUUUUCGGUUGGGGUGACCACGGAGAAUAAAAACAACCUCCACGACGAAAGGAAGUAAUAACCUAAAUUAAGAGUUACGACUCUAAACAUCAACAAAUUGACUAAAUUGAUCCAAUAAAUUGAUCAACGAACCAAGUUACCCUGGGGAUAACAGCGCAAUCCAUUUCAAGAGCUCAUAUCGACAAAUGGGUUUACGACCUCGAUGUUGGAUCAGGGAUAUCCCAGUGGCGCAGCGCUACUAAUGGUGUCGUUUGUUCAACGAUUAAAACCCUACGUGAUCUGAGUGCAGACCGGCCU
This 580-nucleotide ribosomal RNA is filed under the name Microhyla petrigena (pothole chorus frog). RNAcentral's name for it is "partial 16S ribosomal RNA". It matches the Rfam family "Bacterial large subunit ribosomal RNA", at positions 1862 to 2622 of the family's 2925-position model. Lineage: Eukaryota; Metazoa; Chordata; Amphibia; Anura; Microhylidae. The record is from RNAcentral.